This 1170-nucleotide ribosomal RNA is filed under the name uncultured organism. Its description in RNAcentral is "bacterial SSU rRNA". It matches the Rfam family "Bacterial small subunit ribosomal RNA", at positions 272 to 1432 of the family's 1533-position model. The record is from RNAcentral.
GGCGACGAUGGUUAGCUGGUCUGAGAGGAUGAUCAGCCACACUGGAACUGGAACACGGUCCAGACUCCUACGGGAGGCAGCAGUGAGGAAUUUUGCGCGAUGGGGGUAACCCUGACGCAGCAACGCCGCGUGAGUGAUGAAGGCCUUCGGGUCGUAAAGCUCUGUCAAGUGGGAGGAACCCAUUCCGGCACAACAAGCCGGGGUGCUGACGGUACCACUGAAGGAAGCACCGGCUAACUCCGUGCCAGCAGCCGCGGGUAAUACGGAGGGUGCGAGCGUCAUUCGGAAUUACUGGGCGUAAAGGGCGCGUAGUGCGGCCGAUUAAGUCAGAUGUGAAAUCCCGCGGGUAACCCCCGCAAGAGCAUUUGAUACUGAACGGGUUGAGUAUGGGAGAGGGAAGUGGAAUACCUGGUGUAGCGGUGAAAUGCGUAGAUAUCAGGAGGACACCGGUGCCGAGGCGACUUCUGGACACAAACUGACGCUGAGGCCCGAAGGCGUGGGGAGCAAACAGGAAUAGAUACCCUGGUAGUCCACGCAGUAAACGGUGAUCACUAAGGUGUAGCGGGUAUUGACCCCUGCUGUGCCGGAGGUAACGCAUUAAGUGAUCCGCCUGGGGAGUACGGCCGCAAGGGUAAAACUCAAAGGAAUUGACGGGGGCCGCACAAACGGUGGAGCAUGUGGUUUAAUUCGACGCAACGCGAAGAACCUUACCUGGAUUUGACAUCUCGGGAAUCCCGCGGAAACGCGGGAGUGCCCUUCGGGGAGCCCGAAGGACAGGUGCUGCAUGGCUGUCGUCAGCUCGUGUCGUGAGAUGUUGGGUUAAGUCCCGCAACGAGCGCAACCCCUAUCUUCAGUUACCAGCGAGUAAAGUCGGGGACUCUGGAGAUACUGCCCCGGUCAACGGGGAGGAAGGUGGGGAUGACGUCAAGUCCUCAUGGCCUUUAUGUCCAGGGCUACACACGUGCUACAAUGGGCUGUACAGAGGGAAGCGAUCUCGCGAGGGUGAGCCAAUCCCAAAAAGCAGUCCUCAGUUCGGAUUGGAGUCUGCAACUCGACUCCAUGAAGCUGGAAUCGCUAGUAAUCGCGGAUCAGCAUGCCGCGGUGAUACGUUCCCGGGCCUUGACACACCGCCCGUCACACCAUGAGAGUUGGCUGUACCAGAAGUCGUCG